AAUAGAUACCCAGGUAGUCCACGCCGUAAACGAUGAGUGCUAAGUGUUAGAGGGUUUCCGCCCUUUAGUGCUGAAGUUAACGCAUUAAGCACUCCGCCUGGGGAGUACGGCCGCAAGGCUGAAACUCAAAGGAAUUGACGGGGGCCCGCACAAGCGGUGGAGCAUGUGGUUUAAUUCGAAGCAACGCGAAGAACCUUACCAGGUCUUGACAUCCUCUGACAACCCUAGAGAUAGGGCUUCUCCUUCGGGAGCAGAGUGACAGGUGGUGCAUGGUUGUCGUCAGCUCGUGUCGUGAGAUGUUGGGUUAAGUCCCGCAACGAGCGCAACCCUUGAUCUUAGUUGCCAUCAUUAAGUUGGGCACUCUAAGGUGACUGCCGGUGACAAACCGGAGGAAGGUGGGGAUGACGUCAAAUCAUCAUGCCCCUUAUGACCUGGGCUACACACGCUACAAUGGCCAGGACAGCGCGUCGCGAGCCGGUAACGGUCAGCUAAUCGCCCAAACCUGGUCCCAGUG
This 514-nucleotide ribosomal RNA is filed under the name uncultured bacterium. Its description in RNAcentral is "bacterial SSU rRNA". It matches the Rfam family "Bacterial small subunit ribosomal RNA", at positions 777 to 1293 of the family's 1533-position model. The record is from RNAcentral.